AGAACGAACGCUGGCGGCAUGCCUAACACAUGCAAGUCGAACGAGACCUUCGGGUCUAGUGGCGCACGGGUGCGUAACGCGUGGGAAUCUGCCCUUGGGUCCGGGAUAACAGUUGGAAACGACUGCUAAUACCGGAUAAUGACUUCGGUCCAAAGAUUUAUCGCCCAGGGAUGAGCCCGCGUCGGAUUAGCUAGUUGGUGGGGUAAAGGCCUACCAAGGCAACGAUCCGUAGCUGGUCUGAGAGGAUGAUCAGCCACACUGGGACUGAGACACGGCCCAGACUCCUACGGGAGGCAGCAGUGGGGAAUAUUGGACAAUGGGCGAAAGCCUGAUCCAGCAACGCCGCGUGAGUGAUGAAGGCCUUAGGGUUGUAAAGCUCUUUUACCCGGGAUGAUAAUGACAGUACCGGGAGAAUAAGCCCCGGCUAACUCCGUGCCAGCAGCCGC
Molecule: ribosomal RNA, 446 nt
Filed under: uncultured bacterium
Lineage: Bacteria
Description: SSU rRNA
Rfam family: Bacterial small subunit ribosomal RNA
Source: RNAcentral